UUUCUGUGUUCGCAGUGGUCGGAAGUAUUCUCGGCAUGUCUAGCAGCAUAUUCAUUAUAAACAUAACAGACAACAGACCAAACUCUGAAAAUGGAUCUUGUAACAACAUACAAACCUCUGAAAUUAGACCCUCAAGGACUGAACAAAUGAAAGAAGAAACAGAAGAUCUGAUUGUUCCGAAUGUUACCACCAUCUUAUAAACGAUUACUUCAUGAGAGAAACUUAAAUAAAUUCAG
Mytilus trossulus (common blue mussel) is the source of this 236-nucleotide long non-coding RNA. RefSeq lists it as uncharacterized. The record is from RefSeq and is a predicted model, not a curated record. The transcript has 4 exons. NCBI's taxonomy places the organism in Eukaryota, Metazoa, Mollusca, Bivalvia, Mytilida, Mytilidae.